GGUCUUGGUCUCAAACCUCAC
RNAcentral lists this ribosomal RNA (21 nucleotides) under Crotalus viridis viridis (prairie rattlesnake). Its description in RNAcentral is "partial 12S ribosomal RNA". The record is from RNAcentral. Lineage: Eukaryota; Metazoa; Chordata; Lepidosauria; Squamata; Viperidae.